GACGAACGCUGGCGGCGUGCUUAACACAUGCAAGUCGAACGAAGUGGCGAACGGGUGAGUAACGCGUAAUCAACCUGCCCUUCAGAGGGGGACAACAGUUGGAAACGACUGCUAAUACCGCAUACUGAAGGAGGGGAUUGCGUUGGAUUAGCUAGUUGGGGGGGUAACGGCCCACCAAGGCGAUGAUCAGUAGCCGGUCUGAGAGGAUGACCUGCCACAUUGGGACUGAGAAACGGCCCAGACUCCUACGGGAGGCAGCCGUGGGGAAUCUUCCGCCAUGGACGAAAGUCUGACGGAGCAACGCCGCGUGAGUGAUGAAGGCCUUCGGGUUGUAAAGCUCUGUUAAUCGGGACGCGGUACCGGAAUAGAAAGCCACGGCUAACUACGUGCCAGCAGCCGCGGUAAUUC
This 408-nucleotide ribosomal RNA is filed under the name uncultured bacterium. RNAcentral's name for it is "partial 16S ribosomal RNA". It matches the Rfam family "Bacterial small subunit ribosomal RNA", at positions 28 to 526 of the family's 1533-position model. The record is from RNAcentral.